GGCUCAAGAUGAACGCUAGCGACAGGCCUAACACAUGCAAGUCGAGGGGCAUCGGGGCGAGGAGCAAUCCUUGCCGCCGGCGACCGGCGCACGGGUGAGUAACGCGUAUGCGACCUGCCCGUUGCAGGGGGAUAAUCGGGAGAAAUCCCGUCUAAUACCGCGUAAUGCCGCGGGGCUGCAUGGCCCUGCGGCCAAAGGGAGCGAUUCCGGCAACGGAUGGGCAUGCGUGACAUUAGCUAGUUGGCGGGGCAACGGCCCACCAAGGCGACGAUGUCUAGGGGUUCUGAGAGGAAGGUCCCCCACACUGGUACUGAGACACGGACCAGACUCCUACGGGAGGCAGCAGUGAGGAAUAUUGGUCAAUGGGCGCGAGCCUGAACCAGCCAAGUCGCGUGAGGGAUGACGGCCCUACGGGUUGUAAACCUCUUUUGUCGGGGAGCAAAUUCCGCCACGUGUGGCGGAGUCGAGAGUACCCGAAGAAAAAGCAUCGGCUAACUCCGUGCCAGCAGCCGCGGUAAUACGGAGGAUGCGAGCGUUAUCCGGAUUUAUUGGGUUUAAAGGGUGCGUAGGCGGACUGUCAAGUCAGCGGUAAAAUACGGGGGCUCAACCUCCGCCCGCCGUUGAAACUGACGGUCUUGAGUGGGCGAGAAGUAUGCGGAAUGCGUGGUGUAGCGGUGAAAUGCAUAGAUAUCACGCAGAACUCCGAUUGCGAAGGCAGCAUACCGGCGCCCGACUGACGCUGAAGCACGAAAGCGUGGGUAUCGAACAGGAUUAGACACCCUGGUAGUCCACGCAGUAAACGAUGAAUACUAGCUGUCCGGGGCGAAUGAGCCCUGGGUGGCACAGCGAAAGCGUUAAGUAUUCCACCUGGGGAGUACGCCGGCAACGGUGAAACUCAAAGGAAUUGACGGGGGCCCGCACAAGCGGAGGAACAUGUGGUUUAAUUCGAUGAUACGCGAGGAACCUUACCCGGGCUCAAACGACACAGGAACGUACCUGAAAGGGUUCGGCUCUACGGAGCCUGUGUCGAGGUGCUGCAUGGUUGUCGUCAGCUCGUGCCGUGAGGUGUCGGCUUAAGUGCCAUAACGAGCGCAACCCCCAUCGACAGUUGCUAACAGGUCAGGCUGAGGACUCUGUCGAGACUGCCGGCGCAAGCUGCGAGGAAGGCGGGGAUGACGUCAAAUCAGCACGGCCCUUACGUCCGGGGCGACACACGUGUUACAAUGGCAGGUACAGCGGGAAGCCACCUGGCGACAGGGAGCGGAACCCGAAAGCCUGUCUCAGUUCGGAUUGGAGUCUGCAACCCGACUCCAUGAAGCUGGAUUCGCUAGUAAUCGCGCAUCAGCCACGGCGCGGUGAAUACGUUCCCGGGCCUUGUACACACCGCCCGUCAAGCCAUGGAAGCCGGGGGUGCCUGAAGUGCGCUGCCGCGAGGAGCGCCCUAGGGUAAAACCUGGUGACUGGGGCUAAGUCGUAACAAGGUA
This 1484-nucleotide ribosomal RNA is filed under the name uncultured bacterium. RNAcentral describes it as "16S ribosomal RNA". It matches the Rfam family "Bacterial small subunit ribosomal RNA". The record is from RNAcentral.